RNAcentral lists this ribosomal RNA (384 nucleotides) under uncultured bacterium. RNAcentral's name for it is "bacterial SSU rRNA". It matches the Rfam family "Bacterial small subunit ribosomal RNA", at positions 30 to 412 of the family's 1533-position model. The record is from RNAcentral.
AUUGAACGCUGGCGGCAUGCCUUACACAUGCAAGUCGAACGGCAGCACGGGAGCAAUCCUGGUGGCGAGUGGCGAACGGGUGAGUAAAGUAUCGGAACGUACCUUUCAGUGGGGGAUAACGUAGCGAAAGUUACGCUAAUACCGCAUAUUCUGUGAGCAGGAAAGCAGGGGAUCGCAAGACCUUGCGCUGAUUGAGCGGCCGAUAUCAGAUUAGCUAGUUGGUGGGGUAAAGGCCUACCAAGGCGACGAUCUGUAGCGGGUCUGAGAGGAUGAUCCGCCACACUGGAACUGAGACACGGUCCAGACUCCUACGGGAGGCAGCAGUGGGGAAUUUUGGACAAAUGGGGGGCAACCCUGAUCCAGCCAUGCCGCGUGAGUGAAGAA